RNAcentral lists this long non-coding RNA (1247 nucleotides) under Strigops habroptila (Kakapo). Its description in RNAcentral is "lncRNA (ENSSHBG00005004360.1)". The record is from RNAcentral. Lineage: Eukaryota; Metazoa; Chordata; Aves; Psittaciformes; Psittacidae.
GCGCAGGGAACGGGCCGCGCCGGGCCUGGCCGGCGGCUGGAGCCGCCGUAGGACGGGGGGGACAGCGAGAGGGGCCGCGGUCACCAGCGGGUGUGGGUUGUUAAGGUUUUGAUUAAAGUGACUUCAUCUCGUAAGUGUAAGACAAAGAAGAACGAUGAAGAAGUAUGUUGUAAAUUCCACAGAAAAGGACCUCUCUGAUGCCGGUAAGCCACAGGCAUGAAAGCCAUGUGUGUGUUCAAGGCAUACAUUCCACAGCUCCAAAUCUAAAGGUGCAUUAUAAGUCUUUCCUGAUUUCCAUAAUGAUUUCAUAGCAAAUAACACAAUGAGUUAACUAAAGCCAACGCCUAGAAAACAUUAACGUAUGAAUUAUUCCACCAAGUUCAACAACGUUCAUAUCCAUUUCUAUUCAGCUGGGUCUUAGCCUGGGCAUGAAAAUGCUCCUACAAUAAUCUCAGUAAGGUGAAAGCACAUUAUUACCUUCAAGUGGUUGCCUAAAGAAGUCUUUAAACAAGUCUCUAAACAAGCCUGAUGUGAAAAACAGUAUGCAGAAAAUUCUAUUCAUGGUGAGUCAUUGUGUAAAGUUAAGGUAAAUGUAAAUUGGGUGUGACUGGUGUGUGGAGCCCUUUUUCUCCCCAUGUGAUUCACAGCUGGCUCCCUGCUGUUGUUGUUGAUCAGUUUAUCCAUUUAUUACAUCUCAUUUUAUACAUUUAGAAUCAUAAGUUUUCUGGGGUAGGAUUCCUUUUUUGUGCAGAUUGCUAAAGCCCCUAGCACAAAGGAAGUAGGAUAUGUGGUGACUACUGCAAUACAAAGAAAUAAUGAAGAUUGCUAUUACAGGAGAAGACAGGAUUCUUCUGUUAACUCCUAUCUGUUGUGUGUUACCUACAGCAGUUAUAACCUCUAUAAGCAAGUCCACUUAUUUCAGUAGUGCUUCUCCUCGUUUGCAUUCAGUUGUGUAGGUGUUUGCAGGAUGAAUUAAUUCUUGCUUUUAGAUAGCUUUUUUUGUAUAAAUAUAUUAAUUAUAAAAAUGAAGUUUGUUUCAGUCUCAUAAAUGGAGCUGGGAACUCUUUUCUUGAGCAGAGGAGAUUAAUUGAAGUGAAAGGAAGUUUCAAGAAAAAAUGCAUAAGGCUCUUCCAAGAACAUGAGAAAAACUAAUCCUUAAGAUUUAAAUACAAAAGAAUCAGCAGGGAAAGCUGCAAGAAACUGGAACAAAAGAUGUUUUAUUAAGUGUAAAAAAAAAAAAAAAAAAA